Molecule: ribosomal RNA, 301 nt
Filed under: uncultured bacterium
Lineage: Bacteria
Description: partial 16S ribosomal RNA
Rfam family: Bacterial small subunit ribosomal RNA
Source: RNAcentral
CAGUCGCCGCGGGAAUACGUAGGGUGCAAGCGUUAUCCGGAAUUAUUGGGCGUAAAGAGCUCGUAGGCGGUUUGUCGCGUCUGCUGUGAAAACUGGAGGCUCAACCUCCAGCCUGCAGUGGGUACGGGCAGACUAGAGUGCGGUAGGGGAGAUUGAAAUUCCUGGUGUAGCGGUGGAAUGCGCAGAUAUCAGGAGGAACACCGAUGGCGAAGGCAGAUCUCUGGGCCGUAACUGACGCUGAGGAGCGAAAGCAUGGGGAGCGAACAGGAUUAGAUACCCCGGUAGUCCCUGUCUCUUAUAA